This 426-nucleotide ribosomal RNA is filed under the name uncultured eukaryote. RNAcentral describes it as "bacterial SSU rRNA". It matches the Rfam family "Eukaryotic small subunit ribosomal RNA", at positions 592 to 1018 of the family's 1831-position model. The record is from RNAcentral.
CAAUAGCGUAUAUUAAAGUUGUUGCGGUUAAAAAGCUCGUAGUUGGAUUUCUGGCUGGAGCGAUCGGUCCGCCCCGCAAGGGGUGUGUACUAGCGUCGUCUCCGACCAUCCUUGUGGGAACUGUGCGGCCGUUAACUCGGUUGUAUAUGGGAACACAUCGUUUACUGUGAAAAAUUAGAGUGUUUAAAGCAGGCUUAAGCCGUUGAAUACAUUAGCAUGGAAUAAUGGAAUAGGACUUCUGUUCUAUUUUGUUGGUUUCUAGGACUGAAGUAAUGAUUAAUAGGGAUAGUUGGGGGCAUUAGUAUUUAAUUGUCAGAGGUGAAAUUCUUGGAUUUAUGAAAGACUAACUUCUGCGAAAGCAUUUGCCAAGGAUGUUUUCAUUAAUCAAGAACGAAAGUUAGGGGAUCGAAGACGAUUAGAUACCGU